This 411-nucleotide ribosomal RNA is filed under the name uncultured bacterium. RNAcentral's name for it is "partial 16S ribosomal RNA". It matches the Rfam family "Bacterial small subunit ribosomal RNA", at positions 355 to 781 of the family's 1533-position model. The record is from RNAcentral.
UGGAGAAUAUUGGACAAUGGGGGCAACCCUGAUCCAGCCAUGCCGCGUGAGUGAUGAAGGCCUUCGGGUUGUAAAGCUCUUUUGGCGGGGGACGAUGAUGACGGUACCCGCAGAAUAAGCCCCGGCUAACUUCGUGCCAGCAGCCGCGGUAAGACGAAGGGGGCUAGCGUUGUUCGGAAUUACUGGGCGUAAAGCGAGUGUAGGCGGUUGCCGUAGUCAGGUGUGAAAGCCUUGAGCUCAACUCAAGAAAUGCACUUGAUACUGGGUGACUAGAGGACCGGAGAGGAUAGUGGAAUUCCCGAGUGUAGUGGUGAAAUACGUAGAGAUUGGGAAGAACACCAGUGGCGAAGGCGGCUAUCUGGACGGUUACUGACGCUAAGACCCGAAAGCGUGGGGAGCAAACAGGAUUAG